UACGUAGGGUGCGAGCGUUAAUCGGAUUUACUGGGCGUAAAGCGUGCGCAGGCGGCCCGUUAAGACAGGUGUGAAAUCCCUGGGCUCAACCUAGGAAUUGCGCUUGUGACUGGCGGGCUCGAGUACGGUAGAGGGGGGUGGAAUUCCUGGUGUAGCAGUGAAAUGCGUAGGGAUCAGGAGGAACACCGAUGGCGAAGGCAGCCCCCUGGGCCUGUACUGACGCUCAUGCACGAAAGCGUGGGGAGCAAACAGG
Molecule: ribosomal RNA, 253 nt
Filed under: uncultured microorganism
Description: partial 16S ribosomal RNA
Rfam family: Bacterial small subunit ribosomal RNA
Source: RNAcentral